AGACAAGGACCAAGGAUGGUGAUUCCUUCCU
This 31-nucleotide non-coding RNA is filed under the name Homo sapiens (human). The record is from RNAcentral. Lineage: Eukaryota; Metazoa; Chordata; Mammalia; Primates; Hominidae.